GUGCCAGCCGCCGCGGUAAUACGUAGGGUGCGAGCGUUAAUCGGAAUUACUGGGCGUAAAGCGUGCGUAGGCGGUCCCGCAAGUCCGCUGUGAAAGCCCUGGGCUUAACCUAGGAACUGCAGUGGAAACUAUGGGACUUGAAUCUGGCAGAGGGGGGUGGAAUGCCACGUGUAGCAGUGAAAUGCGUAGAGAUGUGGCGGAACACCGAUGGCGAAGGCAGCCCCCUGGGCUAAGAUUGACGCUCAGGCACGAAAGCGUGGGGAGCAAACAGGAUUAGAUACCCUUGUAGUCC
RNAcentral lists this ribosomal RNA (292 nucleotides) under uncultured bacterium. RNAcentral describes it as "partial 16S ribosomal RNA". It matches the Rfam family "Bacterial small subunit ribosomal RNA", at positions 505 to 796 of the family's 1533-position model. The record is from RNAcentral.